CCGUCUGUUCAUAUGUUAGCCGUUUCAUAUAUGCAUUAUCUGCUACCCACAUCAUUUCCUUCUUCACAUUAGACCCUUCAAUCUGGAUCCCUUCUCCACCGCCCCUUCGUGAAUUCGUCUCUCCCUCUCACCAGGUAUGUUUCUUCCUCUUUCUUUUGUAAUCUUAUGAGCAAAAAUAUUUUAUGUUUGUUAGGAUUUCGACCCGAUUAAGCAACGAAUAAGAAAAUAGUGAAAUAAAUUGAGAAAUUGAAUACACAAAUUUAACGUGAAAAAAUCUUUCCAAAGAGAAUAAAAAACCACGGGUAAAGAUAAUUUUACUAUAAUAACAAAAGAACGAAGAGUACAAAAGAUGGAGAUUAAGACUAAACCCCGAAAACCCGAAAACAAAGAACCCUCAAAACGUAAACACAAAAUUCUCUAAAUGUGUUAUGAGUUCUAAUCUCUAAUGAGUGUAUUUUUCUAAGGUUGUAAAAGAGCAUAUUUAUAGGCUAAAUUUAUAGGUCAAAUAAUAAUAAAAUAAUCUAAACUAAUCAGUAUUUGAUUGAAAUAAGUAAACAAAGUUUAACUAAAAGAUUAUUUCUCAAAUUUGACUAAAAAUAGGAGUCAUAUUUAACAAAUCUCCACCUUGACUCAUAUUUCCACAACGCCAUCUUUACCAAAGCUCGCCACGAGCCUAUCUUGAACUAUGCAGGGAAUUAACUGAGUCGAAUUUGUGCUUAGAAACUGGAAGACUUCUAGCCUUCGACUUGUACAUUGCCAAAUAAAAACUAACCCGAGUUUGAUUUUCACGAACACAGUGCCUUAACUUUUCAAAACCUGCAUCUAAAAGAGAACCUCUCUUCAACGAAAUAGUCAUAUCUUUUUCCCUCCUAUAACCAAGUUGCCUCCGCUCCAAACAAGUUGACUUCAACUCCGUAACGGACGAGGGAUGUCCGAUUUCACCGGUCACUGUAUAACCUUCCAGAAUAUAAAGGCUGUCGGUUCUUUUACCUUUUAACAAAACGAGAGCUCCACGAGAUACUUUAAUGCCGCUCGACUCAAUGUUGAUUUUGCAUCCUUUCAAGUCUAAAAUACUUAAAGAGAUGAGAUUCUUUCGUAAAUCAGGUACAUACCUGACAUUUGAGAGUGUCCUAAUCGUCCCAUCUGCAUCUUAAUUUUAACAGUACCAAUACCAAUUACCUUACUAGAUGAAUCGUUUCCCAUGCGCACAACUCCACCUUCAAUCAAAUUGUACGUGGAGAACCAUUCUCUAUUGGGACACAUGUGGAAAGAACAUCCUGAAUUUAGGAUCCACUCGGACGUGAGCUUGGUGUUAUCGCUUGUUGACACUAACAAGAAAUCAUCACCGCUUUCAUCGGCCAAAUUAGCACCAUCCACAUCUUCCUCGUUACUCUCAGCAGCUCUUUUAUUUCACAGUUUAUAACAAAAUUGCUUUGACGUGACCUAACUUUUUUACAAUAGCGAUACCUUUUGUCUCGUUUCUUUGAUGCUACCAAAACGGAAGGUUGCCUAUCUGCCUUACUAUCCAAACCAAACUCAUUUUCGAGUUUUUCUCUACUCAACAAAUGACCCUUCACAUCUUCGAAUGAGAGUUUGUCUCUGCCAUAAAUCAGGGUCUCCCUGAAAGACUUAUAUGAAGGGGGUAAAGAGCACAAUAAUAGCAUAGCCUGAUCUUCAUCGUCAAUAUGAACCUCAACAUUCUUUAAAUCAUUUAAAAGAGUAAUAAAUUAACUGAUGUGAUCUCUAAGAAGCUCACAUUCGUUCAUGCGAAACGUAAAUAGAUGUUGUUUCAACAGUAAACGAUUAGCCAGAGACUUAGUCGCAUAAAGAGUUUCUAACCUUUUCCACAAGGCGGAUGACGUUUUUUCCAUCUAUACCUCUUGCAAUACCGUAUUCGCGAGGCAUAAUUGGAUUGCAGAUAAAGCCUUUUCAUCAAGUUCUUCCCAUUUUGUUUUAUUUAGAUUCUCAGGCUUUUUCCCGGUAGCAACCUUUUUCAAGCCUGAUUGAACUAGAAUUACCAUCAUCCGAACUUGCUACAGAUUGAAAUUUGUCUCACCAUAGAACUUCUCAAUUUCAAACCUUAUUGUUGAUAUCUCUAAAAGGGCUGAUUUAUGAAAAUUGAACUAGCUCUGAUACCACUUGUUAGGAUUUGGACCCGAUUAAGCAACAAACAAGAAAAUAGCGGAAUAAAUUAAGAAAUUGAACACACAAAUUUAAGGUGCAAAAACCCCUCCAAAGAGGAUAAAAAACCACGGGCAAAGAUAAUUUUACUAUAAUGGAAAAAUAAUGAAAAGUACAAAAGAUGGAGAUUAAGACUAAACCCCGAAAACCCGAAAACAAAGAACCCUCAAAACGGAAACACAAAAUUCUCUAAAUGUGUUAUGAGUUCUAAUCUCUAAUGGGUGUAUUUUUUUAAGGUUCUAAAAGAGACUAUUUAUAAGCUAUAUUCAUAGGUCAAAUAAUAAUAAAAUAAUCUAAACUAAUCAGUGUUUGAUUGAAACAAGUAAACAGAGUUUAACUGAAAGAUUAUUUCUCAAAUUUGACUGGAAAUAGGAGUCAUAUUUAACAAUGUUCUAUUUAUAAACUGGAAUCUAAUAUCUCUAAAUUGAGUUAUCUUAUUAUGGAUGUUGUUAAUAAUCGCUCCUAUGGCUGAUUUAUCUCUCUUCAUGGCUUGACAUUUCUUGAUGAUUGUUCGAGAAUCCCCCAUAACCGUUACUGAAGGAAGAUCCAUUUCACUUCCUAGUUUUAACGCUUGUAGGCCUGCAAGGGCUUCAGCAGCAAAUUGAGACAGAACAUUCCUAUGCAGAACAGUCUUCGUCACCAUGAGUUUUCCUCCUCUGCCCCAAACAAUCAGGCCGGAUGCCGACUUAAAGUUCUUGUUAUCAAAGGCUGCAUCAAACUGAAUUGUCACUCUAGUAUAGCCUUCUUGACGCCUGUGACUGCUACUCGAGUUUAAGGUACUUUCUCUCAUCCUCAGCCCUUUAGUUUCAACUAUGUACUUUCAAACUUUGAGCGAUAACUCCCUCCUUGUUUCUACUUUCUGUUCAUGUAUGAGUUUAUUCCUUGAGCGCCAAAUAAACCACAUGCCACAAUAGGAUAUUUUACACUACUUAGAUGUACUCAAUCUGAAAACCCAGGUAAUCCACUCCCAAAAUCCUUGAGUCGAAAUUUCACAGAUCCACGACAGGUCUAACAAUUGCCAUGUUUCAACUGUUACAGGGCAAUACCGAAAGAUGUGGGUGAUAUCUUCUUCCUCCUUUCCACAGCAAGGACAUGUCACGUUAUUAGUCAUCCGUUUAUAUUUUAAAUUAACUAGAGAUGGAAUAUAGUUCCAAGAUAUUCUCCAUGUUGUUAUUGCAAUCUUGGCAGGUAGUUGUAGAUUCUAUAGCUUAUUGUAGAAAUCCUUUAGAUCGGUCUGUAUUAAAUAAAAUUUAAGAUCCAAUUGAGCAUCUUGUAAUAGUUUGUAAGGGCUCCGUACUGAAAAUUCACCAGAUUGCUCUCCUUUCCACACUUGAAAAUCCUCAUGAGGUGUUUCCGCCAGGGGGAUCCGCAAAAUUUUUU
RNAcentral lists this long non-coding RNA (3561 nucleotides) under Gossypium barbadense (sea-island cotton). RNAcentral describes it as "long non-coding RNA (GBAR_LNC004245)". Lineage: Eukaryota; Viridiplantae; Streptophyta; Magnoliopsida; Malvales; Malvaceae. The record is from RNAcentral.